GUGAAUGUGUGCAAGUUUGUGUGCAAGGCAGUGAACUGGAAAGAUAGGGAAAAAUGACUAUAGGCGCGGGUACGCCUACACUGCCCAGGUGUGGAAAAGUGCAGGGCUGAGGGCACUCAUUUCUGUGACAGUGCGCACGUCCCGCGCUUUUACGCACGGUCUCUUUGCAGUAAUGCAUAAACGUUGUUUUGGUGUUAUGACACUAGCUUACUCGAUAUUUUACAACUAAUAAAAAAGAAGAAAUUAAAGAUGUUUACAUUUGGUUUAUGGCUAGAGCUUGUGGUAAAGCGAAUUACAAUUCCAUUCCGGUUCUAAACAAUGUGUUAUGACGUAUCCAUCUCUAUGCGACCGAGAGGGUCACAAUGCCGACGCUUCACAUGGAACUCCAGAACCCAAGAGAUAUGUUCAGAACUCUCAAAAAAUCUUCAGUUCUUGAUCGACAAACAACGAGAGAGACAGCAUUAUUAUGGCGAGCUUUUCAUUCAUCUUCCCUGAAGACAGACAUUGUUCCAUUAAGGACAACGAAGUCAAUUCAGGGUGGAUGUCAAUGGUGACCCAGCUCAACGCCCUUGGCGGUCCAGAGUCAGAAGUUCCGUCAGAGCUUUGCAGAGGAACUUGGUGACAAGUACCACUACGCGAAUGCCAUCGACAGCUCUCUGCUCUGGACUGUUGGGUACACCCCCUACAUUCCUGCAGCUCUGAAAGGAAGAAGCUUCCCCUCUGUCGAGAGCUUCUUCCUGGAUGAGUGGGAGCCACUGACAUUCCUGCAGACUCCUCAGGUUCUGUCCACCAGUGUUUCCAUCGAGGAAGACAACCUGAUCCAAUCUACUGCAGGCCUAGUGUCUCAGGAUCUGUCCACCAGUGUUGCCAUCGUGGAGAAUGAC
RNAcentral lists this long non-coding RNA (884 nucleotides) under Salmo salar (Atlantic salmon). Its description in RNAcentral is "lncRNA (ENSSSAG00000088789.1)". The record is from RNAcentral. Lineage: Eukaryota; Metazoa; Chordata; Actinopteri; Salmoniformes; Salmonidae.